This 167-nucleotide ribosomal RNA is filed under the name Luciocephalus pulcher (pikehead). Its description in RNAcentral is "partial 12S rRNA". Lineage: Eukaryota; Metazoa; Chordata; Actinopteri; Anabantiformes; Osphronemidae. The record is from RNAcentral.
CACCGCGGUUAUACGAGAGACCCAAAUUGAUAGAAAACGGCGUAAAGAGUGGUUAAGAGACCUAAAAACUAAGGCCGAACGCUUCCAAGGCUGUUAUACGCUCCCGAAAGUAAGAAGCACAACUACGAAAGUGGCCUUAUCAGCCUGAACCCACGAAAGCUGGGGUA